CAAUAGCGUAUAUUAAAGUUGUUGCAGUUAAAAAGCUCGUAGUUGAAUUUUUGCUUGCCGCCGAUGUCGGAACUUCCGUACGUUCGGCGGCGUGCAUCCUUGGGUGGAACCUGUGUGGCAUUAGGUUGUCGUGCAGGGGAUGCUCAUCGUUUACUGUGAAAAAAUUAGAGUGUUCAAAGCAGGCUUACGCCGUUGAAUAUAUUAGCAUGGAAUAAUAAGAUAGGACCUUGGUACUAUUUUGUUGGUUUGCGCACCGAGGUAAUGAUUAACAGGGACAGUUGGGGGUAUUCGUAUUCCAUUGUCAGAGGUGAAAUUCUUGGAUUUCUGGAAGACGAACUACUGCGAAAGCAUUUACCAAGGAUGUAUUCAUUAA
RNAcentral lists this ribosomal RNA (373 nucleotides) under uncultured eukaryote. RNAcentral describes it as "partial 18S ribosomal RNA". It matches the Rfam family "Eukaryotic small subunit ribosomal RNA", at positions 592 to 976 of the family's 1831-position model. The record is from RNAcentral.